Molecule: long non-coding RNA, 443 nt
Filed under: Homo sapiens (human)
Lineage: Eukaryota; Metazoa; Chordata; Mammalia; Primates; Hominidae
Description: HSALNT0069872
Source: RNAcentral
CACCGCUCCUGGAGCGAUUGUUUCAAUGUUGCUUGCUCGGAAUGGCCCUCCUGAGCAAACAACAGACGGUGCUCAAAGUAACAACUGGACUUAAUAAAAGGAGCUUACACGAAGGAGGAGCUGAAGGCUGCUGUGGUCGUGUGCUGGGGGCUGCCCCAGCUCCAGCUGCAGGACCCCGGCCGUCUGCCUUCCGACUCCGGUGAUGAUUCUUCCUGCGGUCUGAUCAAGAUUCUAUGCAGUUAACUUUGUAUCCAAGGAUCUAUAGCCAAGAAAUUUGGAGCUCAGUUUCAAACGCCAAAGGAAAUUGUAGUGGGAAAUUCCAAGGGUAGCAGAGUUAUGCAAAGUCACAGAAAAAAGAAAUAAUAGCAGAAAAUAUGAAGCAUCUGCAUCAGGCGUUUUUAAGUACAUCCUGAAAAUUCAGAGAGGUCUACGCUUAAUCACAU